RNAcentral lists this long non-coding RNA (985 nucleotides) under Physcomitrium patens. Its description in RNAcentral is "long non-coding RNA (PPAT_LNC004628)". The record is from RNAcentral. Lineage: Eukaryota; Viridiplantae; Streptophyta; Bryopsida; Funariales; Funariaceae.
CAAAACCAGAACUGCCAUGCCCAUUCCACAAACAGACACUAGUACAGGUACCACGAGGGGCUAUCCUACUUUAGGAACAGUAAAGGACGAUCCCUUGUUCUGCACUGCAGAAAGAUCACAAAAACAAAUAACAAGUAACAGGUCUAACAUAGUCGCCACCAACGCGACCUGCAGGCAGGUCCAACGACCCCCACAGCAAAGACGGUCAAAUCUCGGGUGGCUUUCCCAGUGAACAGUUGCAUCUCUCCCGGCCGCAAACAGUAUCAUCCUUCAGUGUCUUCCCCUUCGUCAACCUCCUCGCAGUAACCUUCUCACCAGUAACCCAAACCCAGAACCGAGAUUUCGAGCAAUAGAGCCGUCAGAUCUCAGUCCCGGAGUGCUUCCCAAAACCACCAGAGGUUUCAACCACCUUAACGGCUUCAGUACUCGGGUUGGCGGUCGUUCCUCCAGUUCCCAGAGCUGGGUCCUCCACGGCCACCGUAGCCGCCACCACCACCGCCUCCGUAGCCUCCACCACGGCUUCCUCCAUAACCACUACCUUCACGGUCACCUCCUCCACGGCUUCCACCGUAACCUCCUCCAUAGCCACCUCCUCCUUGCUCUCUGCGGCCGUAGCCACCACCGCCGCCACCGCCACCACCGCCUCCACCACGAGACUGGGCUUGGUUGACGGUGAUGUUGCGACCGUCCAACUCCUGGCCGUUCAUCUCCUUGAUGGCAGCGUUCAUUGAGUUCUCAUCGGCGAAAGUAACAAACCCAAACCCGCGAGACCUUCCGGUCUCCCUGUCAGAGAUCACCUUACUCUGCACAACCUCGCCGAAGGGACGGAACGCACCCUCCAGGCGGCCGUCGGUAGUGGCCCAGGCCAACCCUCCGACAAAGCACCUGAAUUCUUCUCCACCGGCCAUCUUGGUAGAGUGAAAGCUGCGGAACAAGAAACAAGUCACAAGAGACCAGUAAAGUAACAAGAGGCGCAGGGAAGAAG